RNAcentral lists this ribosomal RNA (465 nucleotides) under Vreelandella stevensii. Its description in RNAcentral is "partial 16S ribosomal RNA". It matches the Rfam family "Bacterial small subunit ribosomal RNA", at positions 338 to 795 of the family's 1533-position model. The record is from RNAcentral. Lineage: Bacteria; Pseudomonadati; Pseudomonadota; Gammaproteobacteria; Oceanospirillales; Halomonadaceae.
CCUACGGGAGGCUGCAGUGGGGAAUAUUGGACAAUGGGGGCAACCCUGAUCCAGCCAUGCCGCGUGUGUGAAGAAGGCCCUCGGGUUGUAAAGCACUUUCAGUGAGGAAGAACGCCUGGUGGUUAAUACCCAUCAGGAAAGACAUCACUCACAGAAGAAGCACCGGCUAACUCCGUGCCAGCAGCCGCGGUAAUACGGAGGGUGCGAGCGUUAAUCGGAAUUACUGGGCGUAAAGCGCGCGUAGGUGGCUUGAUAAGCCGGUUGUGAAAGCCCCGGGCUCAACCUGGGAACGGCAUCCGGAACUGUCAAGCUAGAGGGCAGGAGAGGAAGGUAGAAUUCCCGGUGUAGCGGUGAAAUGCGUAGAGAUCGGGAGGAAUACCAGUGGCGAAGGCUGCCUUCUGGACUGACACUGACACUGAGGUGCGAAAGCGUGGGUAGCAAACAGGAUUAGAUACCCGUGUAGUC